RNAcentral lists this ribosomal RNA (460 nucleotides) under uncultured bacterium. RNAcentral describes it as "partial 16S ribosomal RNA". It matches the Rfam family "Bacterial small subunit ribosomal RNA", at positions 338 to 795 of the family's 1533-position model. The record is from RNAcentral.
CCUACGGGAGGCAGCAGUGAGGAAUAUUGGACAAUGGGCGAGACCCUGAACCAGCCAAGCCGCGUGAAGGAUGAAGGACCUAUGGUUUGUAAACUUCUUCUAUAUGGGCAUAAAGUGAGGAACGUGUUCCUUUUUGUAUGUACCAUAUGAUUAAGCCUCGGCCACGUCCGUGCCAGCAGCCGCGGUAAUACGGAGGAUGUGAGCGUUAUCCGGAUUUAUUGGGUGUAAAGGGUGCGUAGGUGGUUACUUAAGUCAGAGGUGAAAGAUUGGGGCUCAACUAGAAAAUUGCCGUUGAAACUGGAUGUCUAGAGUGUAUGUGAGGUGGACGGAAUGCGUGGUGUAGCGGUGAAAUGCGUAGAGAUUACGCAGAACUCCGGUUGCGAAGGCAGCUUUCUGGACUGUAACUGACGCUGAGGCACGAAAGCGUGGGGAGCAAACAGGAUUAGAUACCCGAGUAGUC